UUGGCGCUUCAGGGUGUUGUCGUUGGCCACAUUCACUAAAAACGAGGUUGUUGGAACGACCGAAAGCCAUAAUUGGCUUGCUACCUUUUCACAAAUGAAAUUGUGCGUGGAGCUGCUAUCGAUGAUAAUGACUACUUCCUGAUGUCCGAUGGUGGCGGGGACUCGCAUGGUGUGAGCUGGUGUCCAACCCUUAAAGGUGUAUAAGGAGAUUUUGGGCUCAGGACCAUCUGUUUCUUUGUCUUCUUCGCUGCAUCCUUCAAGUAGCAAGAGCUACGGUUUGCGACAACGGUGGCUAG
Molecule: long non-coding RNA, 296 nt
Filed under: Carica papaya (papaya)
Lineage: Eukaryota; Viridiplantae; Streptophyta; Magnoliopsida; Brassicales; Caricaceae
Description: long non-coding RNA (CPAP_LNC012116)
Source: RNAcentral